Molecule: ribosomal RNA, 264 nt
Filed under: uncultured bacterium
Lineage: Bacteria
Description: partial 16S ribosomal RNA
Rfam family: Bacterial small subunit ribosomal RNA
Source: RNAcentral
CCGGCGACCGGCGCACGGGUGAGUAACACGUAUGCAACCUGCCCGUCUCAGGGGGAUAAUCGUCGGAAACGGCGUCUAAUACCCCGUAUGAAGCUGGACGGCAUCGUCUGGUUUUGAAAGAAUAUCGGAGACGGAUGGGCAUGCGGCGCAUUAGCUAGUUGGCGGGGUAACGGCCUACCAAGACGACGAUGCGUAGGGGUUCUGAGAGGAAGGUCCCCCACACUGGUACUGAGACACGGACCAGACUCCUACGGAAGGCAGCAG